RNAcentral lists this ribosomal RNA (427 nucleotides) under uncultured eukaryote. RNAcentral describes it as "bacterial LSU rRNA". It matches the Rfam family "Bacterial large subunit ribosomal RNA", at positions 1499 to 1916 of the family's 2925-position model. The record is from RNAcentral.
UGGAUGUCCUGGUUUAAGCGUGUAGGCGUGCCCCUUAGGCAAAUCCGGGGGGCUAAGCUGAGGCGUGAUGACGAGGCACUACGGUGCUGAAGUGGUUGAUCCUAUGCUUCCAAGAAAAGCCUCUAAGCUUCAGUUGGAUAGUGACCGUACCGCAAACCGACACAGGUGGGCAGGGUGAGAAUCCUAAGGCGCUUGAGAGAACUCUGGAGAAGGAACUUCGGCAAAAUUGACACCGUAACUUCGGGAUAAGGUGUGCCUCUAUUACGUGAAGGCCCUCGCGGCUGGAGCGGAAAGAGGUUGCAGUGAAAAGGUGGCUGCGACUGUUUAACAAAACACAGCACUGUGCAAACACGAAAGUGGACGUAUACGGUGUGACGCCUGCCCGGUGCCGGAAGGUUAAGUGAUGGGGUGCAAGCUCUUGAUCGAA